CCUACGGGGUGCAGCAGUAGGGAAUAUUGCUCAAUGGGGGAAACCCUGAAGCAGCAACGCCGCGUGGAGGAUGAAGGUUUUAGGAUUGUAAACUCCUUUUGUGAGAGAAGAUAAUGACGGUAUCUCACGAAUAAGCACCUGCUAACCCCGUGCCAGCAGCCGCGGUAAUACGUAGGGUGCAAACGUUACUCGGAAUCACUGGGCGUAAAGAGUGCGCAGGCGGGCUUGUAAGUAAGGUGUGAAAUUCUGUAGCUUAAAUACAGAACUGCAUUUGAAACUAGGAGUCUAGAGUAUGGGAGAGGUAGGUGGAAUUCUUGGUGUAGGGGUAAAAUCCGUAGAUAUCAAGAGGAAUACUCAGUGCGAAGGCGACCUACUGGAACAUUACUGACGCUCAGGCACGAAAGCGUGGGGAGCAAACAGGAUUAGAUACCCUUGUAGUC
Molecule: ribosomal RNA, 440 nt
Filed under: uncultured bacterium
Lineage: Bacteria
Description: partial 16S ribosomal RNA
Rfam family: Bacterial small subunit ribosomal RNA
Source: RNAcentral